UGGGGCUAAUACCUCAUAGACACAGAUAGCUGGAAUGCUUCUGUGUUCAAAGCUCCGGCGCCUGAGGAUGAGUCUGCGGCCUAUCAGGUUGUAGUCAGGGUCAUGACCUGACUAGCCAACGACAGGUACGGGGUGUGAGAGCACUUGCCCGGAGAUGGUUUCUGAGACACGAAACCAGGCCCUACGGGGCGCAGCAGGCGCGAAAACUUCGCAAUGCGGGAAACCGUGACGAGGGAACUCCAAGUGUCUAUGCAUUGCAUAGACUGUUUUUUAGCCUAAAUAGCUAAAAGAGUAAGAGGUGGGCAAGACCGGUGCCAGCCGCCGCGGUAACACCGGCACCUCGAGUGGUAGCCACUAUUAUUGGGCCUAAAGCGUUCGUAGCCGGUUUGGUAAAUUCUUGGGUAAAUCGUACAGCUUAACUGUGCGGAUUCCGGGGACACUACCAGACUUGAGACCGGGAGAGAUCAGAGGUACUUGUAGGGGAGCGGUGAAAUGUUGUAAUCCUACAGGGACCACCAGUGGCGAAGGCGUCUGAUCAUAACGGCUUUGACGGUGAGGAACGAAACCCUGGGGCGCAAACGGGAUUAGAUACCCCGGUAGUCCAGGGCGUAAACGCUGCUGACUUG
This 626-nucleotide ribosomal RNA is filed under the name uncultured archaeon. RNAcentral's name for it is "bacterial SSU rRNA". It matches the Rfam family "Archaeal small subunit ribosomal RNA", at positions 141 to 770 of the family's 1478-position model. The record is from RNAcentral.